UGGACAGUAUGGGAGUGAGAAUGUUGGCAUGAGUAGCGAGAUGUGGGUGAGAAUCCCACAGGCCGUAAACCCAAGGUUUCCAGGGGAAGGUUCGUCCGCCCUGGGUUAGUCGGGACCUAAGCUGAGGCCGAAAGGCGUAGGUGAUGGACAACAGGUUGAUAUUCCUGUACUACCGAUAACCGUUUGAGAGAAGGGAUGACACAGUAGGAUAAGCUAAGCACACUGUUGGUUAUGUGUGCCCAAGCAUUGAGGCAGUCAAAGUAGGCAAAUCCGCUUUGAUAAUGCUGGGAUGUGAUGGGGAGCGAAAUUUAGUAGCGAAGUAGCUGAUUUCACACUGUCAAGAAAAGUCUCUAUCGAGGUUAAAGGUACCCGUACCGCAAACCGACACAGGUGGGUGAGGAGAGUAUCCUAAGGCCAGCGAGAGAACUGUUGUUAAGGAACUCGGCAAAAUGACCCCGUAACUUAGGGAUAAGGGGUGCCACCAUCAGGUGGCCGCAGAGAAUAGGCCCAAGCGACUGUUUACCAAAAACAUAGGUUUCUGCUAAGUCGCAAGACGAUGUAUAGGAGCUGACGCCUGCCCGGUGCUGGAAGGUUAAGGGGAUCUGUUAGAGCAAUCGAAGCAGUGAACUUAAGCCCCAGUAAACGGCGGCCGUAACUAUAACGGUCCUAAGGUAGCGAAAUUCCUUGUCGGGUAAGUUCCGACCCGCACGAAAGGCGUAACGAUUUGGGCACUGUCUCAACAACAGACUCGGUGAAAUUGUAAUUCCGGUGAAGAUGCCGGAUACCUGCGACAGGACGGAAAGACCCCAUGGAGCUUUACUGUAGCUUGACAUUGGGUCUUGGUACUACAUGUACAGGAUAGGUGGGAGGCUUUGAAACCAGGACGCCAGUUUUGGCGGAGCCAUCCUUGGGAUACCACCCUUGUAGUACUGGGACUCUAACCAUAGGCCAUGAAUCUGGUCUUGGGACACUGUCAGGUGGGCAGUUUGACUGGGGCGGUCGCCUCCCAAAAGGUAACGGAGGCGCUCAAAGGUUCUCUCAGUACGGUCGGAAAUCGUACGUAGAGUGUAAAGGCAAAAGAGAGCUUGAUUGCAAGACAUACAGGUCGAGCAAGGAUGAAAAUCGGACUUAGUGAUCCGGUGGUUCUGCGUGGAAGGGCCAUCGCUCAACGGAUAAAAGCUACCCUGGGGAUAACAGGCUUAUCUCCCCCAAGAGUCCACAUCGACGGGGAGGUUUGGCACCUCGAUGUCGGCUCAUCACAUCCUGGGGCUGUAGUAGGUCCCAAGGGUUGGGCUGUUCGCCCAUUAAAGUGGUACGCGAGCUGGGUUCAGAACGUCGUGAGACAGUUCGGUCCCUAUCCGUCGCAGGCGUAGGAAAUUUGAGAAGACCUGUCCUUAGUACGAGAGGACCGGGAUGGACG
This 1420-nucleotide ribosomal RNA is filed under the name Clostridioides difficile. Its description in RNAcentral is "partial 23S ribosomal RNA". It matches the Rfam family "Bacterial large subunit ribosomal RNA", at positions 1274 to 2703 of the family's 2925-position model. Lineage: Bacteria; Bacillati; Bacillota; Clostridia; Peptostreptococcales; Peptostreptococcaceae. The record is from RNAcentral.